Molecule: ribosomal RNA, 301 nt
Filed under: uncultured bacterium
Lineage: Bacteria
Description: partial 16S ribosomal RNA
Rfam family: Bacterial small subunit ribosomal RNA
Source: RNAcentral
CAGUAGCCGCGGUAAUACGUAGGUCCCGAGCGUUGUCCGGAUUUAUUGGGCGUAAAGCGAGCGCAGGCGGUUAGAUAAGUCUGAAGUUAAAGGCUGUGGCUUAACCAUAGUACGCUUUGGAAACUGUUUAACUUGAGUGCAAGAGGGGAGGGUGGAAUUCCAUGUGUAGCGGUGAAAUGCGUAGAUAUAUGGAGGAACACCAGUGGCGAAAGCGGCUCUCUGGCUUGUAACUGACGCUGAGGCUCGAAAGCGUGGGGAGCAAACAGGAUUAGAUACCCGCGUAGUCCCUGUCUCUUAUACA